RNAcentral lists this ribosomal RNA (429 nucleotides) under uncultured bacterium. RNAcentral's name for it is "bacterial SSU rRNA". It matches the Rfam family "Bacterial small subunit ribosomal RNA", at positions 355 to 776 of the family's 1533-position model. The record is from RNAcentral.
UGGGGAAUAUUGCACAAUGGGGGAAACCCUGAUGCAGCCAUGCCGCGUGUGUGAAGAAGGCUCUAGGGUUGUAAAGCACUUUCAAUGAGGAGGAACGGUUAGUAGUUAAUACCUGCUAGCUUUGACGUUACUCAUAGAAGAAGCACCGGCUAACUCCGUGCCAGCAGCCGCGGUAAUACGGAGGGUGCAAGCGUUAAUCGGAAUUACUGGGCGUAAAGCGCGCGUAGGCGGAUGCUUAAGUCGGAUGUGAAAGCCCAGGGCUCAACCUUGGAACUGCAUUCGAUACUGGGCAUCUAGAGUACAGUAGAGGGUGGUAGAAUUUCUUGUGUAGCAGUGAAAUGCGUAGAUAUGAGAAGGAAUACCAGUGGCGAAGGCGGCCACCUGGACUGAUACUGACGCUGAGGUGCGAAAGCGUGGGGAGCAAACGGG